RNAcentral lists this ribosomal RNA (431 nucleotides) under uncultured bacterium. RNAcentral describes it as "bacterial SSU rRNA". It matches the Rfam family "Bacterial small subunit ribosomal RNA", at positions 354 to 777 of the family's 1533-position model. The record is from RNAcentral.
GUGGGGAAUCUUCCGCAAUGGACGAAAGUCUGACGGAGCAACGCCGCGUGAGUGAAGACGGCCUUCGGGUUGUAAAGCUCUGUGAUCCGGGACGAAAGAGCCUGAGGUGAAUAGCCUAAGGAAGUGACGGUACCGGAAAAGCAAGCCACGGCUAACUACGUGCCAGCAGCCGCGGUAAUACGUAGGUGGCAAGCGUUGUCCGGAAUUAUUGGGCGUAAAGCGCGCGCAGGCGGCUUCCUAAGUCCAUCUUAAAAGUGCGGGGCUUAACCCCGUGAUGGGAUGGAAACUGGGAAGCUGGAGUAUCGGAGAGGAAAGUGGAAUUCCUAGUGUAGCGGUGAAAUGCGUAGAGAUUAGGAAGAACACCGGUGGCGAAGGCGACUUUCUGGACGAAAACUGACGCUGAGGCGCGAAAGCGUGGGGAGCAAACAGGA